GAUGAAGAACGUAGCGAAAUGGGAUACGUAAUGUGAAUUGCAAAUUCAGUGAAUCAUCGAGUCUUUGAACGCACAUUGCGCCCCCUGGUAUUCCGGGGGGCAUGCCUGUCCGAGCGUCAUUGCUGCCCUCAAGCACGGCUUGUGUGUUGGGCCCCGUCCUCCGAUCCCGGGGGACGGGCCCGAAAGGCAGCGGCGGCACCGCGUCCGGUCCUCGAGCGUAUGGGGCUUUGUCACCCGCUCUGUAGGCCCGGCCGGCGCUUGCCGAUCAACCCAAAUUUUUAUCCAGGUUGACCUCGGAUCAGGUAGGGAUACCCGCUGAACUUAAGCAUAUCAAUAAGCGGAGGA
This 345-nucleotide unclassified non-coding RNA is filed under the name soil metagenome. RNAcentral's name for it is "partial contains 5.8S ribosomal RNA, internal transcribed spacer 2, and large subunit ribosomal RNA". The stretch from base 1 to 119 matches the Rfam family "5.8S ribosomal RNA", at positions 35 to 154 of the family's 154-position model. The record is from RNAcentral.